UACGUAGGGUGCGAGCGUUAAUCGGAAUUACUGGGCGUAAAGCGUGCGCAGGCGGUUUUGUAAGCCAGAUGUGAAAUCCCCGGGCUUAACCUGGGAAUGGCAUUUGGGACUGCAAGGCUGGAGUGUGGCAGAGGAGACUGGAAUUCCCUGUGUAGCGGUGAAAUGCGUAGAGAUGGGGGAGAACACUCGUGGCGAAGGCGGCCAGCUAGACCAGUUCUGACACUGAGGCGCGACAGCGUGGGGAGCAAACAGG
RNAcentral lists this ribosomal RNA (253 nucleotides) under uncultured bacterium. RNAcentral's name for it is "partial 16S ribosomal RNA". It matches the Rfam family "Bacterial small subunit ribosomal RNA", at positions 524 to 776 of the family's 1533-position model. The record is from RNAcentral.